RNAcentral lists this non-coding RNA (45 nucleotides) under Schistosoma bovis. The record is from RNAcentral. Lineage: Eukaryota; Metazoa; Platyhelminthes; Trematoda; Strigeidida; Schistosomatidae. RNAcentral also lists the same sequence under 1 other name.
AUCCAGCUGGCGAGUCCCGAAUAGGACGAAACGCGCGUCCUGAAU